CCUUUUCAAAAAGCGGAGGAAAAGAAACCAACAGGGAUUGCCUUAGUAGCGGCGAGUGAAGCGGCAAAAGCUCAAAUUUGAAAUCUGGCUCUUUCAGAGUCCGAGUUGUAAUUUGAAGAAGGUAUCUUUGGGUCUGGCUCUUGUCUAUGUUUCUUGGAACAGAACGUCACAGAGGGUGAGAAUCCCGUGCGAUGAGAUGAUCCAGGCCUAUGUAAAGUUCCUUCGAAGAGUCGAGUUGUUUGGGAAUGCAGCUCUAAGUGGGUGGUAAAUUCCAUCUAAAGCUAAAUAUUGGCGAGAGACCGAUAGCGAACAAGUACAGUGAUGGAAAGAUGAAAAGAACUUUGAAAAGAGAGUGAAAAAGUACGUGAAAUUGUUGAAAGGGAAGGGCUUGAGAUCAGACUUGGUAUUUUGUAUGUUACUUCUUCGGGGGUGGCCUCUACAGUUUAUCGGGCCAGCAUCAGUUUGGGCGGUAGGAGAAUUGCGUUGGAAUGUGGCACGGCUUCGGUUGUGUGUUAUAGCCUUCGUCGAUACUGCCAGCCUAGACUGAGGACUGCGGUUUAUACCUAGGAUGUUGGCAUAAUGAUCUUAAGUCGCCCGUCUUGAG
Molecule: ribosomal RNA, 604 nt
Filed under: Candida tropicalis
Lineage: Eukaryota; Fungi; Ascomycota; Pichiomycetes; Serinales; Debaryomycetaceae
Description: LSU rRNA
Rfam family: Eukaryotic large subunit ribosomal RNA
Source: RNAcentral